CUCACCACAACCUCCACCUCCUGGACUAAAGUGAUUCUCCCGCCUCAACCCCCUGCCCCACAAGUAGCUGGGAGUACAGACACCACCCACCACGCCCGCCUAGCCUAAUCUUUGUAUUUUUUGUAGAGAUGGGGUUUCACCAUGUUGCCCAGGCUGGUCUCGAACUCCUAAGCUCAAGUUAUCCACUGCCUCCGCCUCAGCCUCCCAGAGUGCUAGGAUUACAAAUGUUUGAAACAUCUCCUUCCUUGACUAUCAGCCAAACUACAGUAUCUUCAAGAUGCCACUAAAUUGUCUUCUGCUCUAUAAAGGCACCACUGACGUAGUGCAGAAUUGGCAUUCCUUCUUUGAACACCCAUCUUACAUGGUGCAGAGUUGUAAUAUUGCAUAGUCCAUUGAAUUGUUAUCGCUUAUUUAUGUGGCUGUCCUCCACCUUCAUUCCCAGAAUUUAAACAGAGAUCAGUCUUAUUUUCCUUUGUAUUCCCUUCCGCUACCUAGCAUUGAGCAUAUACGAUCUUCAGUUGUUGUUUAAAACAUA
Molecule: long non-coding RNA, 535 nt
Filed under: Homo sapiens (human)
Lineage: Eukaryota; Metazoa; Chordata; Mammalia; Primates; Hominidae
Description: HSALNT0064906
Source: RNAcentral